This 498-nucleotide ribosomal RNA is filed under the name uncultured bacterium. Its description in RNAcentral is "partial 16S ribosomal RNA". It matches the Rfam family "Bacterial small subunit ribosomal RNA", at positions 29 to 507 of the family's 1533-position model. The record is from RNAcentral.
AACGAACGCUGGCGGCGUGCCUAAUACAUGCAAGUCGAGCGGACGGAUGGGAGCUUGCUCGCAGGCCGUCAGCGGCGGGCGGGUAAGUAACUCGUUAGCAACCUGCCUGUAGGACUGGGAUAACUCCGGGAAACCGGGGCUAAUGGCGGAUAACUCUUUCCCUCACAUUAGGGCAAGCUGGAAUAUGGCAUCUCGCUAUCACUUACAUAUGGGCCCGCGGCGCAUUAGCUAGUUUGUGAGGUAACGGCGCCCCAAUGCGACGAUGCGUAGCCCACCUGACAGGGUCAUCGGCUACACUGUGACUGAGACAGGUCCCACACUCCUGCGGGAGGCAGCAGUAGGGAAUCCUACGCGAUGGAGGAGUGUCGGACGGUACAACGCCGCGUGAAUGAUGAAGGUGUCCUGAUCGGAGAGCUAUGUAGUCCGGGAAGUACAAAUGCCGGAUCAACUGCCGGUACCAUGACGGUACCUGACGAGAAAGCCACGGCUAACUCCGUG